Molecule: ribosomal RNA, 252 nt
Filed under: uncultured bacterium
Lineage: Bacteria
Description: partial 16S ribosomal RNA
Rfam family: Bacterial small subunit ribosomal RNA
Source: RNAcentral
UACGUAGGGGGCAAGCGUUGUCCGGAUUUAUUGGGCGUAAAGAGCGUGUAGGCGGCUUGGUAGGUCUCGCGUCAAAACCUGAGGCUCAACCUCAGUUCGCGUGGGAAACCACCUAGCUAGAGUCCGGAAGAGGAGAACGGAAUUCCCAGUGUAGCGGUGAAAUGCGCAGAUAUUGGGAAGAACACCAGUGGCGAAGGCGGUUCUCUGGGACGGUACUGACGCUGAGGUGCGAAAGCGUGGGGAGCAAACAGG